Molecule: long non-coding RNA, 3062 nt
Organism: Felis catus (domestic cat)
Lineage: Eukaryota; Metazoa; Chordata; Mammalia; Carnivora; Felidae
Exons: 3
Source: RefSeq, a predicted model, not a curated record
UAAAAUUUUAUGUAACACAACCACACUCAUUUUUUUUGUUUGUUUUGCAUGUUGUGUAUGACUGCUGUCACACUGUAACUGCAGGAUUGUGAUAGUCUGGGUGUGGUCUGCAAAGUCACAAAUAUUUUCUAUCAGGUCCUUCACAGAGAAAGUUUUAGAUGCUAGUUUAGAUACUAAUAAUGAACUUCAUCCCCUAUCUCAUAAAUAAGAAAUGGACACUCCAAGGCAAUGUUAGGAGACAGAAUUCUGGUAUGAGAGGAAUAGUUGAACGCCAAACACACAGCUCAAAGAAUGAAAAAGGAUCUGUGUCCUCAUGAACAUUUUCUGGUAUGCUAUCCAGUCCACUUGCUAACCAUAUGACUCACCAUCUCCAAGCUCUGCUAUCCUCAAAUGUAAUUGAGGAUGAUAAUAUUUGCUUCAUGAUGUUGUGAUGAUUAAUGAAAUAUUACUCGUAAAAUGCUCAUGUCUGUAUUCCAUAGAAUAAAUGCUCAAUAACUUAUUAUCUCUUCUUUCUCAAAGUCUUUUCAGAGACCAGAAAGAAAACUUUCCUAGGGAGAUAGAUAAAGGAAUUUUAAUUAGUCAAUUUUGACUUAGAGAUGAACUCUUUUGUAGUAUGCUUUCUCCAGAUGUCAAAACCUUGGCUUCCCAAGUCCUGCUUUAAGAUUCAUACUGGCCAAUGGAUAAGUGUUAACAUAUCCUUCACUCUUCAGUCAAGCAGGAAAGGAGUUAUGUUGCAGAACAAUUUGUCCUAAAACAUAUCAUCAGUUUUAAAUAUGACCCAUUUAAAUCCAUAAGGAUUUCAUAGUUUAAAUAUCAUUGAAUUUUACAUCUCCAAAAAAAUUGAAUAAACAUUCAGAAACUCCCUCCAUUGCAUUCUGCAAAUUAAAAAAAAAAACAAUGAGACCCAAAGACAAUGAUUGCUUUUGUUCAUAGAUAGUUAGGGAGUUGGGGUCAUCACUGGACCAGUAUAACAUAUUCUUAGGCUAGCAUUCACUCUCCUAUCUCUGACUCUGCUAUUACUAAUGCAGCAAAAUUCUGAAGACUUUUGUUCUCUUUGUUUUCAAUAAUUUUGUCGUUGUUUUGACAAAUUACCCCUGAGAUUCAUGAGGAUAUUAUUUAGAAGCAUACAAUUAUGUCUUGAUUGCUGUUUGUUUGUUUGUUUGAAUCCAAUAAUGCUUUUUAGUCUCAAAAUUCAAAUUUUCCCUUUCAAUUGGUUUAGCUCAUAAUUGACAGCAAUUAUUUAUUUUUAUUCAGAGAAACUAAAAUAAAAGAUGUGAUUAAAUUCUCUACUGCAAUGACAUGGUAUUUAUUUGAUCAUUUCCAAGUAUUUUGUUUUUCUUUUUUACAUGAGAUUCUUAUUGGGGUGCUAUGAGGAUUAGUGAUAAACUAUAUUACAGGAGGGCUGAGGAGGAAAUUACCAUGCAAGUAUAAAAUGUAAUAGUUUUGUGUUUGGAUGCUUGGUAAUUGAGUUAGUUUUUACAAGUUUCUCAGAAGACUGAAACAUUCAACUUAGCCUUCUUGUGGGCCUUUGGUUAAUCUCACUAAUCUCUAUGGUCACAAAGCAUUGACCUUCAAGUAUGGGCCUAGCUAUCUUGGAGACAUAUUUUGUACCCAAAGGGUCAUAAGUACAAUCACUUUUCAGGGUAUGCAUACUACUAAAGGAAAUGAGCAGGGUGCAGUUUUACAUUCUCACCUGAUAACUUUAUUCCACUAGUUAGUCAGGAGCAUAUUAUAUGCAGAUCCAGCAUAGCUUCUAGAGUCAGAUAGCCUGGGUUCUAAGCCCAGCCACCACUUAGCUAGAUUAGUGGCAGUGAAUAAAUCAUCAAUCUAGGGGAAAUUUCUCUCAUCCAUAAGUCAUUAACUACCUCAGAGAUUUAGUUAUCAGGAUAUUGGAUAGAAAACACAUGUAAAGCACUUAGCCAGUCCCUACCAUUCAGAAAAUGUUAGUUAUAAUAAUGAUUAUGAUAAUUAUCAAUAUUACUUUUAUUAAUGAUAAGUCCACUUUUGCCAUUUCUUUUAUCAUCAAAUCAUACAAUGUGGAAAAAUCUUUAGAUCCAAGCCGACAUUCAGUGAGCAGAUGUGUACCACUGGGAUGGAUAUUUGGAGAAAUACCACAAAUACAAAAAUGAUGAAACAUCCCAUCCAAGACAGGUCAACUUAUCAUUGCAAAAGAGCCUUCUGUAGCGCUCGAGACAUAUCUGAAAACCUCUGGUUAUGGGAAAAUUACAAGUUCCUGACCCAGCAUAAUUCACUAUUGAACAGGUUUUCUCUAAAUUUUCAAGCCCAGUUAACCUGAGUGGUCACGACAACAGCAGCAUCAGCAAAGAAACAAAAAUAAAAAUAAACAAUAAUCUGUUAUGCCGAAGUUUAUGUUUGUUCCCGUUAUUCUCAAUGCAUAACACACCACCCCAAACACAGUGAUCUAGAGCAAUAUUUAUUUUGCUCAUGAAUUCUUUGGUUUGGGAAUUAGGAAAGAACACAAAAGAGAUGUUUUUUUUUUAUUAUUAUGUUUUUCUUUUCACAAUGUUUUGGAACUCAACCAGGAGGACUUAAUGGCUGGAGGUAGAUUAAUGACUGCAGGCUGGAGUCAUCUGAAAGUUCACCCACUCAAAUGUUGGGUAAUUGGUAUUCACUGUUGGCUGGGAUUUGAACUGAGCCUCUUGGUUGGAACACCUGCAUGUGGUUCCACCACAUGGCUAUUUGAGCUUCAUCCCCGCAUGGCAGCUGAAUUCUAAGAGAAUAAAUUCUAAGAAAAUCUGAUGAAAGCUCUAUCACCUUUUAUGACCUCACCUUGAAAAUCUCAUAAUAUGAUUUCUGCUGUCAUCAAAGCCCACCCAGCAUGGAGCAUGGAUCCUACAUCUUGAUGGAAGAAUACCCAAGUUACAUUUUAAGAAAAGCAGGUGUGAUGAAAGGUUUUCUCAAAUGAGGAAUGUGGUUCAUCUCACAGCACACCCCAAGUCCCUCUUCUGAAAUAUAUGGAACCUACUUUCUAACUUGGUAAUGAUCUCACAGUUUGUGAGUUCGAGCCCUGCAUCAGGCACUGUGCUCAAAGCACAGAGACU